RNAcentral lists this long non-coding RNA (2466 nucleotides) under Marmota monax (woodchuck). The record is from RNAcentral. Lineage: Eukaryota; Metazoa; Chordata; Mammalia; Rodentia; Sciuridae.
UCCUCCCUCCCUCCCUUCCUCCCUCCCUCCCUUCCUCCCUCCCUCCCUUCCUCCCUCCCUCCCUUCCUUCCUUCCUGCGGCCUUUCCUCCCUCCUUUAACGGGGCUGUGUUUGCUGCUCUGCUGUUCUUGGUGGUGGGAGUAAUUGCAAACCUCAAGUAUGCAAAACCCAGUUGGAAAUGUUCAAAAAACGCGGCCAAAUAGGCAUUUCCCUUCCAAAUAACUAGCUGGAUUCCACUGUUGGAUUUUAAAAACCUUUAUCUUCGCUAAAUAUUUGACUUUGAUUUUCAUGCUCUCUCACUGUGUAAGUAUUUUGAAAUAGGUUAAAAGAACAGAGAAAUGAACAUCGUCCAGAAACAUUGAUCCUACAUUGCACUUAGUGAUAAGACUCCUGGGCUGCAGAUGAGGGAACUUACCUUUGCUUCUGGUCCUGCCAGGAUGGAGCUGUGUGACUUAGAAAGCCAUUUGCCCUCUCUGGUCUUAUUGUUUCAUCUUUCAAAUUAAAUGGCUUGGGAACCCAGGUGGGAAAUUAUUAUUAUUUUAUUGUUGUUUGAAUGCUCAGUCCCUCUCCCUGUCCUUCCGGUAGUGAGACCCUUUGCUUCCCUUGGGGACCCUUCCUCUUCCAUGCUCACUUAUUUCAGACAGGGCUGUUCCAGGAGCUUGAGAUUUGGGAUCGCCUUUUUGGAAGCAGGUGUGGGAAAAGAGGCUCCCUUAUUACAUGGAGGGAUUACUAGAAAAAUGUUGAUAUUUUAAAGGUGACUAGCAGACCAAACUAGCUAUUGCUGCAUAACAAAUUAUUAUAGACUUAGUGGCUUAAAACUACGCACCUGUGUUCUCAGGGUCUCUAAGGGCCUGGGGAGUGAUAUGGCUUGGCUGGGUUCUGAGCAUGGCCACCUUCAGCACUGCCCUAGGCUGCCGUCAGGUGGGGACCAAGCUACAGAGCCUUCGAAGGCUGACUGGGGAGAGCUCCGCCCUCCACUGGCUCCCUCAGGUUUGGGGAAGGAUUUAUUUACUUCUAGCUACAGGGUGGGGGCUUCGGUUUCUGCCUGGAAGCUGCUCUCAGCAACCAGUUGGUCCACAGCUCCUUGCACAUGGCCUCUCUACCACAGCAAUCAUGCUGGCAUGCUCACCUGUACUGGUGACAGGAGGUUCCUGAGCCCUGUGAGUCAUCUGUGGAGGGAUUCUGUCGUGGGGGUGUGGGAGACAGCGGGGCGCAGGCUGCCAUCCAAGCGGCCUCCCCCAUCUCCCCGCAGGGCCUUCCUCCCCUAGCCUGGCAGCCUGGGGAGCUGACCUUUCGUAUCCAGGGCUCAUGGGUGAUGGGAACAGCAUGGAUCUUCUACUGGACAAACCUGGACUUGGGUCCUGGCUAGUGUUUGCCCAGCAGCCGUGACCCCGUGGCCCUGGUGUUCUCAGGGUCAGUGCAGGGAGAUCGACAGCCGUCACACCCUGCGGAGAGGGUCCACUUGUGGGUAUUAAAGAGCACUUGACUCUGUUUUUUAUUCUCCUGGGAAUUGGUGUCAGUCCUCCAAUCAGAUAUGCAAGAGGUCGAUAUUUUUCUUUACUUUUAUGGUAUUGGAGUUAUUUUCUGCUUUGAGCUCUCAACCCUGGGGAGAAUAGAAACAGACUGGCUCAGUGCCUUUCCUCAGUGUAAACUCCAGGUCGAGGAGGGCUUAUGUGGGGCCAUGGAGGGCUCUAGGGCUCAUGCUCCCUGGGGUCUCCUCCACCGGUAUUCCCGGUGGCCUUUGGCCACCCAUUCUGUGUGGCUCACAGUCGGGUGAAUCCCCCGGGACUUCAAGCCCUCUUUAGGUCCAGCUAGGGACUGCUCGGAUAGAAACCCUGCCAGUCAUCCUCAGACCUUUUUGUCACCUUUGAAGCCAACAGGGAUUAAAACAGCUUAACCUAUGGGGCUCCUGUGAAAAUUAAUUGGGUUAUUACUUAGUGCUGGGAGCACACUGAGUCCUCAAUAAAUGAGAUUUACUUUAUCGUGCUGGAGUCGGGGGACACUGUUUGCUCUUCUGCCUGGCUCUUGGUCCCUUAGGCUCUUCCCAGGAAAGGCAGGACUUGGACCCUCUAGUCUUCUCUCCAAGAUGAGGGAUACAGAGGGCCGUCAGAAUCUGUGCGCUCUUGGCUUCCGUCUUGGGAGAGGUCCAGCUCUGAGAAUCUGCAUUAGUCUGGGAGACAGUGAGAGGGCAGGAAGCCUGGCUGCUCCCCAGCAUGCGUUCUCCCGAAGAAGCAUCUCCACCGGGCUCUGGAACUCGAAGCCAAGUACCAGCUCCUUUGAGGCUUUCUGCUCUGCUGUCCCAUCAGUGAGCCACAGAUACAGGUGCACAGUGGCAGAACGUGGGAGAUGCAGGGGUCAGGGAAGUCAUGAGAAGCCCUUUGUCAAUAUUCGCAGAAGUCAAUUCCCCCUGGUUCUCCGUGACCUGAAAGAAGGUGCCUGUGUUGAGGAGCAGCUGCAGGGGACGCCC